UGAAAGAGUUGCAUUGACAAUUGGCACACACGUUCAGACCUCAGGCUGCCCGACCACCUACCAAUUUGACUUGACAGAAGGAGGGGUUGCAAAUGAUAUCAAGAACCUUGCUCAGGGCUGCAGAAUUCCCAGUGGUUUACAAUGGAUGGUUGAUCACCAGAGAAGCCCGCACCAAAGCUAUUUCUCCCAUCUACCAGCUGAUUCUGGAAGAGCAUGGUCCAACAGAAAAAAAUGAUGGGCUAACCAGGGACUGAGACAGUGACAUUCUCAGCGCAGGACCUGCCACAUAGUCACCAACAAGAUAAAUGAUAUGGUCACCAUAGUGAUAAAAGCCCAAACAGCUGAGAUGCUGACCGAGAGUACUACUUCAAACCUGGGGACAGCACAUUCCCUCUCACCAGGAACAGGACAUGGCUUGUAUGGAAACAAAUCUCAUACAAACAUUGUGCCCAGUGUUCCUGCUUGCCCUGCAGCCUAACGCCUCAUGGUCACAGCUCUAGCUGCUGCUUCCUGGGAAGACUGCUUUCAGAAUUCUGCUGUUAUGGUUUAGAUCUGAAAUGUCCCCUAGUGGUCUCAUGUGUUCAGAGGUGGGGCUUUUGG
Molecule: long non-coding RNA, 600 nt
Organism: Chinchilla lanigera (long-tailed chinchilla)
Lineage: Eukaryota; Metazoa; Chordata; Mammalia; Rodentia; Chinchillidae
Exons: 5
Source: RefSeq, a predicted model, not a curated record